RNAcentral lists this transfer RNA (69 nucleotides) under Marmota marmota marmota (Alpine marmot). It matches the Rfam family "tRNA". From Rfam's summary of the family: Transfer RNA (tRNA) molecules are approximately 80 nucleotides in length. RNAcentral also lists the same sequence under 3 other names. Lineage: Eukaryota; Metazoa; Chordata; Mammalia; Rodentia; Sciuridae. The record is from Rfam by way of RNAcentral.
GGGGUUGUGGCUCAGAGGUAGAGCACUCGCCUAGCAUGUGGGAGGCACUGGGUUUGAACCUCAGCACCA